Molecule: long non-coding RNA, 505 nt
Organism: Brassica rapa (field mustard)
Lineage: Eukaryota; Viridiplantae; Streptophyta; Magnoliopsida; Brassicales; Brassicaceae
Source: RefSeq, a predicted model, not a curated record
AAAGAGAAAAACAGAGCCAACAAACGGUUGCCACCACCAUAUGUCCUCAUGCUUCGGAAGAUGGCUCUCAACUACGAGUUUGUCGGAAGCAGCACAAGCCGGCGCUUUCUCACGUCAUCAUAGCCUGACAAACACACAAGCCAACAACUUGCUCGGCACACACUAUCUCAACAUGAGACUUCGGGUCGGCAAUAGUUCGAUGGGUUGGGUUUCUUAUAUGCUCUCCAACAGAGAGUUUGACCAUGGAAUGGCGCCAUGUUUGGUUACAAGAAUCAUAAACAUUUCAGAAAAGAGUAUCGAGCUUGCCAGCUUGGGAACAAUCUGUUUGAUAUAAAAUACUGGAGGUCUCUACCUCCUGACCUAUGGACAUGUCAAUCGAUAGAAAAAUAUCAGUUACUGGAUAUUUUAUCGAAAAAAUGUCUACUAUUAAAAAAAAAACAGAACUAAUGUCUACUCUUUUUAUUUUAUGUAUUUGAUGUUCCGCAGGCUUAGCUAAUUUUGGUUA